CUAAAGCAGGGGCAGGGCAAACCGUAUUGUUGGCUCCGCCUAGGGUUUUAGCACCUGCCGCCACAACCUCCCUUCUACUGCCGCCGCAACCUCCCUUCUACUGCCGCUGCAACCUCCCCAUCCUUCGAAUCCCAUCUGACCUAGCCCCGCAACCCGCCGGACGACGAGCAGCGAGGUCCGCGGCAGAGAUGGACCGGUACCUGAGGGUGGAGCGGUCGUGGAACGAGUCAACCAUUGAGGAUAACGAGAUCCGCAUCACCGCGCAGGGCCUCAUCUGCAACUAUGUCUCCUACGGUAGCUCCCUCCUCCAGACCUCUAUGCUGGGUUGAACAUAUGUCGUUGGACAAUGAAACUGGAUUAGACAAACCUGGAAUAAGGGCCAGGUCAGUCACAGGCCUUGUUGCAGCAGACUAUUUCGUCCCUGGAUAUUUUUUUGGGCUAUCUUAAUUGCCAAUUUAGCUCGUAUUGGAUAUGAAGAAAAGACCAUGUACAUGGCUGCAUAUGAUUGGAGGUUAUCUUUCCAGAACACUGAGGUUCAUGAUCAAACUUUGAGCAGAAUAAAGAGCAAUAUUGAACUCAUGGUAGCAACAAAUGGUGGAAAUGGGGUGGUCGUGAUCCCACACUCCAUGGGGGUCCUCUAUUUUCUGCAUUUUAUGAAAUGGGUCGAAGCACCUCCUCCCAUGGGGGGCGGUGGUGGUCCGAACUGGUGUGAGAACCAUAUUAAAGCUGUAAUGAAUAUUGGAGGACCUUUCUUAGGAGUUCCCAAGGCUGUUGCUGGGCUUUUCACAUCUGAAGCCAAAGAUGUUGCCGUUGCUAGGUAUAAGGUAAUUGAUUCAUUUAUUUAAAGCAAAAGGGAAUAGCAAAAGAAUGGAAUAUUAUUGGAUGCUCGACAAUCUUGGCGGAGCUUUUCCAUCUUCUGGACCUCACAAGUCCAGGGAGUGCCUGCCUCUGAUCCUCAUCAUUAGGAACAAGCUCAAGUAUGCACUGACGUACCGUGAGGUCAUUUCUAUCCUGAUGCAACGCCAUGUACUUGUUGAUGGCAAGGUCAGGACUGACAAGACCUACCCUGCUGGGUUUAUGGAUGUCAUUUCUAUCCCUAAGACAAACGAGAACUACAGGCUGCUUCCGUCUUCACCCAAUCAGGGAUGAGGAUGCCAAGGUUAGGCCAUUGUCUGAUGUUUGACGUCGGCAACGUGGUCAUGGUGACCGGCGGGAGGAACACCGGGCGUGUAGGAGUGAUCAAGAACAGGGAGAAGCAGAAGGGCAGCUUCGAGACCAUCCACGUGCUGGUUGGAGCUUUUUGCUAUGUCUAGUUUUAUCCUUUUUGUUGUACAGGAAAACAUAGAAUGAAAUUCAAAUUUGGUGGCCGCAAAAGUGUGGAGACUUGAUUUCAUAUAAAGUUAGGCUUAACAUUAGUGCAAACUGUUGUAUUUUAGUCUAGAUUUAGAGUACACUUAUGU
Molecule: RNA transcript, 1460 nt
Organism: Zea mays
Lineage: Eukaryota; Viridiplantae; Streptophyta; Magnoliopsida; Poales; Poaceae
Gene name: phospholipid:diacylglycerol acyltransferase and 40S ribosomal protein pseudogene
Exons: 6
Source: RefSeq, marked validated